UGAGGAAUCUUCCGCAAUGGGCGAAAGCCUGACGGAGCGACGCCGCGUGUGGGAUGAAGUCUUUCGGGAUGUAAACCACUGUCGGAGGGGAAGACAUCGACGGUACCCUCCAAGAAAGCCCCGGCUAACUACGUG
Molecule: ribosomal RNA, 135 nt
Filed under: uncultured bacterium
Lineage: Bacteria
Description: partial 16S ribosomal RNA
Rfam family: Bacterial small subunit ribosomal RNA
Source: RNAcentral